This 1481-nucleotide ribosomal RNA is filed under the name uncultured bacterium. RNAcentral describes it as "bacterial SSU rRNA". It matches the Rfam family "Bacterial small subunit ribosomal RNA". The record is from RNAcentral.
AGAUUGAACGCUGGCGGCAGGCCUAACACAUGCAAGUCGAACGGUAACAGGAAGCAGCUUGCUGCUUUGCUGACGAGUGGCGGACGGGUGAGUAAUGUCUGGGAAACUGCCCGAUGGAGGGGGAUAACUACUGGAAACGGUAGCUAAUACCGCAUAACGUCGCAAGACCAAAGAGGGGGACCUUAGGGCCUCUUGCCAUCGGAUGUGCCCAGAUGGGAUUAGCUAGUAGGUGGGGUAACGGCUCACCUAGGCGACGAUCCCUAGCUGGUCUGAGAGGAUGACCAGCCACACUGGAACUGAGACACGGUCCAGACUCCUACGGGAGGCAGCAGUGGGGAAUAUUGCACAAUGGGCGCAAGCCUGAUGCAGCCAUGCCGCGUGUAUGAAGAAGGCCUUCGGGUUGUAAAGUACUUUCAGCGGGGAGGAAGGGAGUAAAGUUAAUACCUUUGCUCAUUGACGUUACCCGCAGAAGAAGCACCGGCUAACUCCGUGCCAGCAGCCGCGGUAAUACGGAGGGUGCAAGCGUUAAUCGGAAUUACUGGGCGUAAAGCGCACGCAGGCGGUUUGUUAAGUCAGAUGUGAAAUCCCCGGGCUCAACCUGGGAACUGCAUCUGAUACUGGCAAGCUUGAGUCUCGUAGAGGGGGGUAGAAUUCCAGGUGUAGCGGUGAAAUGCGUAGAGAUCUGGAGGAAUACCGGUGGCGAAGGCGGCCCCCUGGACGAAGACUGACGCUCAGGUGCGAAAGCGUGGGGAGCAAACAGGAUUAGAUACCCUGGUAGUCCACGCCGUAAACGAUGUCGACUUGGAGGUUGUGCCCUUGAGGCGUGGCUUCCGGAGCUAACGCGUUAAGUCGACCGCCUGGGGAGUACGGCCGCAAGGUUAAAACUCAAAUGAAUUGACGGGGGCCCGCACAAGCGGUGGAGCAUGUGGUUUAAUUCGAUGCAACGCGAAGAACCUUACCUGGUCUUGACAUCCACGGAAGUUUUCAGAGAUGAGAAUGUGCCUUCGGGAACCGUGAGACAGGUGCUGCAUGGCUGUCGUCAGCUCGUGUUGUGAAAUGUUGGGUUAAGUCCCGCAACGAGCGCAACCCUUAUCCUUUGUUGCCAGCGGUCCGGCCGGGAACUCAAAGGAGACUGCCAGUGAUAAACUGGAGGAAGGUGGGGAUGACGUCAAGUCAUCAUGGCCCUUACGACCAGGGCUACACACGUGCUACAAUGGCGCAUACAAAGAGAAGCGACCUCGCGAGAGCAAGCGGACCUCAUAAAGUGCGUCGUAGUCCGGAUUGGAGUCUGCAACUCGACUCCAUGAAGUCGGAAUCGCUAGUAAUCGUGGAUCAGAAUGCCACGGUGAAUACGUUCCCGGGCCUUGUACACACCGCCCGUCACACCAUGGGAGUGGGUUGCAAAAGAAGUAGGUAGCUUAACCUUCGGGAGGGCGCUUACCACUUUGUGAUUCAUGACUGGGGUGAAGUCGUAACAAGGU